Molecule: non-coding RNA, 460 nt
Organism: Arachis ipaensis
Lineage: Eukaryota; Viridiplantae; Streptophyta; Magnoliopsida; Fabales; Fabaceae
Source: RefSeq, a predicted model, not a curated record
GACUUAAAGAAAAGUGUUCACAUAAGAUGCCCAUGAAAGAUAAAUUCGUAUAAUUCAAUCCCACAAAUCUCGCGUUAUUCCAAUCUGUUUCUUGUGCUGCUCUUAAUGUUAUUAUUUGUGGUCUGUCUCUCUGAAAGUAUGGAGCGACAGUUUGCUGAGUUGGGUAACGCUAGCUUGUAACCCAAGUGGGGGCUUUAGGGUGAUGGAACAUGGCUCUGGCUAUGCUUGGUUGGACUGGAGGUUGCACCAUGUUGGCUUGCCCACUCCAACUUGAAAGUUGGGUCGUGGUACUUGGGCGAAGGCUCAAGUGUCCUGGUUCCUAAACUAGAGGGCACCGCGUUAGGCUGGUUUCACAGAGCAACGAUCACCUCUGGCUUCUGACAGUGGAGGGAUUACAAGCUGCUGCACCAUUAGCCCACAAUGCCUGGUGUGCCUAGCCCUUGAACCAUCACUUUUUUAU